RNAcentral lists this long non-coding RNA (1485 nucleotides) under Mytilus galloprovincialis (Mediterranean mussel). Lineage: Eukaryota; Metazoa; Mollusca; Bivalvia; Mytilida; Mytilidae. The record is from RNAcentral.
UUUUUUUUUUUUUUUUUUUUGAAAUUAUAAUGUUUUAUUUGAAUUUUACAUUUGUUAGAGAUACAUGAAGUACCGGUACCUUAUCCCGGCCUCGUUAACGUUAGUAUAUAGCAAUUCAUUGAUAAGUUAGUACUUGUUAGUGCACAAUAUAUAUAUAUAGUAAUAAUGACAUGUAUGUAACGGAAUAGAAAUAUGAUAACAUGAUGUAUUAUAAAUUCUAAUUUAUGAAAUUAAUUUAAUUUUUGCUGCAACAAGAUUAUGGAAUUUUUCAUAUUUGCCUUCUUUAUUUAUCAAUAUUUCGUGAUAUUGAAGAAAUUCUUUUUUGAAAAUUUCAAACAUAUUAAUUUGUUUUGUUUUUUGUUCGGAUAUAUAGUAUCCUUUGUAUACAGUAAAAAGAAUAAUUGUUAUUAAAUCAUUAAUACUGUAAUAACUUGUAUCGUUUAUUUUGUAUCCGUACAAAAGUGAUUUAAUUGAUAUGAUAUGAUGUCCUAUUUUAAGUUUAUCAAGUAAUAGUUUUAUUUGAUCCCAAAAUGAUUUCAGAAAUUUGCAUGUUAAAAAGUAGUGCUCAUAAUCUUCGAUGACAUCACAAAUAUUACAUAGCGGAGUUUUAGUUAUUUUCCAAGAGAAAAGUAAUUGUUUGGUUGGUAAAAUGUAGUGCAGAAAUUUCCAUCUUAACAUUUUGAGUUUAUUAUCUUGUAAAUAAUAAAAGAUAUAAUUUAGCAUUUGUUGUCUUUUGUUUGUGUUGUUUUCCAAGAUGAAUAUGUUGUCCCAUUUUUGAAAUCCUAUUGGUUUUUCAUAAUAUCUAUUUAAGAGGGAGAUGUAAAUGUCUUUAGAGGAAAUGUUUUUAAGUGAUACCAUUUUCCCUUUUUUAUCUUUAAAUUUAUAUUCGGAGUCAAUGGCAACUUUUGUUUUUAUUGAUUCUUCUUUAGUUAGCUCUUGUAACCACUGUUUUGGUAUUGCUUUCAUUAAUUUAGAAUAUUCCGAAAACCAGUUAGCAUGACAGGAAAGUUUAUCUAAGAUCAUGUUUUGAUUAAAUUUUCCUUUAUUAUCAAUAAUGUCAUUUAAAAAAAGAAUUUUACUGUUUAUCCAGUUUUUGAAAAUGAGACAUUUACCGUUUAAUUUGAUAUUUGUAUUGCCCCAUAUAAGCUGCUGUCUAAUUUGUUUAUAUGAUAGAUGAUCUGAUUCUUUUUCAGAUUUUGAAUUUAUCCAUGAUAUGAUUAUUCUUAAGUAAAAUUGUGGAAUUAGUUCUUUCAGUUUAUAGACCAAAUUAAUAUUGUUGAAAUUCAUUUUAAAUAUAAGGAAUUCUUGUCCAAAUUUAUCAAAAUAAAAUUUUGGUAAGACUUUCCAAUUGGGUGAUAGAUCUUCAUUAUCGAUGAGUUUUUUUACCCAACUAAUAUUUAUCGCUUCUAGAUAUUUAUCUAUGUUUAUCAUUUUAAGCCCGCCAUCAUGGUAAUUUUUACUUAUUAUGUCCCUUUUAACUUUUUC